AGAUUGAACGCUGGCGGCAGGCCUAACACAUGCAAGUCGAGCGGCAGCACGGGUACUUGUACCUGGUGGCGAGCGGCGGACGGGUGAGUAAUGCCUAGGAAUCUGCCUGGUAGUGGGGGAUAACGCUCGGAAACGGACGCUAAUACCGCAUACGUCCUACGGGAGAAAGCGGGGGACCUUCGGGCCUCGCGCCAUUAGAUGAGCCUAGGUCGGAUUAGCUAGUUGGUGAGGUAAUGGCUCACCAAGGCGACGAUCCGUAACUGGUCUGAGAGGAUGAUCAGUCACACUGGAACUGAGACACGGUCCAGACCUCCGUAGGGACGGCAGCGAG
Molecule: ribosomal RNA, 331 nt
Filed under: uncultured soil bacterium
Lineage: Bacteria
Description: bacterial SSU rRNA
Rfam family: Bacterial small subunit ribosomal RNA
Source: RNAcentral